RNA transcript from Triticum dicoccoides, 1555 nucleotides. It is a transcript of the gene named pyruvate kinase 2, cytosolic-like, with no coding region annotated. The transcript is spliced from 8 exons. NCBI's taxonomy places the organism in Eukaryota, Viridiplantae, Streptophyta, Magnoliopsida, Poales, Poaceae. The record is from RefSeq and is a predicted model, not a curated record.
GGCAGGCGUCCUGGAUGGGACCUCAGAUCUUAGAUGUUAGGUUUGGCUGCGAUGUCUGUUUGGUAUUAGGCCCAGGCUAUCUGCGCCCCUUCAUCAACUAGAUAGAGUUGCUUAGACGACGACUUUAGUCUUACUGUUGUAUUACUUUGUAAGGUCUUGUGAGAAUAAUUAAUAAAGUGACCGUAUGCAUCGCCCAGAUGCAGAGGCCGGGGGUCAUCCUCCUUUUCCUAAAAAAAUGUAGGCCGAUUGAUUGUUGUUUGUUGCCUUGAGAUAUUACAUGUUUAUAUGGCACGAUUGAGUGCUGUUUGUUCAUGGUUAUUACAAUCGAUUGAUUGUUGUUUGUUGAUUGGUAUCUAAUUUUGGUAUUGGUAUUAGUAUUAAUUUUUUGAACUUUUUUUUGAUUAUUAUGCCUUCACAUUGCACUGCUCCCAGAUCCAUAUCGACAUGCCCACGCUGUCUGACGAGGAUACAGAUGUUAUGAAAAAAUGGGGUGCUCCAAACAAGAUUGUCUUCCUCUCUUUCUUAUACAAGGCAUGCAGAAGAUGUGCGGCAAAAGUUUGCUCUGCACAAGUGCAACAUGACUGGAAAACCUGCUGCUGUUACUUGUGUUGUGGACAGUAUGAUGGACAACCUAAGGCCUACUCGUGCAGAUGCAACUGAUGUGGCAAAUGCGGUGCUCGAUGGUAGUGAUGCCAUUCUCCUUGGGUUGCAUCCAGUUGAGACUAUUACAACGGUAGGCAGAAUUUGUGCUGAGGCUGAGAAGGUCUUCAACUAGGAUUUGUACUUCAAGCGAACCAUGAAAUACGUGGGAGAACCCAUGAUCCACUUGGAGUCUAUUGCUUCCUCUGCAGUGCAGGCUGCUAUUAAAGUUAAGGCUUUGGUCAUCAUUUGCUUCACCUCAUCUGGAUAGGAGAAAAAGAGUAUUUCUUCUUAUAGGCGCUUCACCUCAUCUUGUAGUUUAAUAGAAAUUGAUUCAUAUAUUAUGCCCUAUCGAGUAUCUGCAGGCUAAUUGCCAAGUACAGGCCCACCAUGCCAUUCCUCAUCUAAAAACAUGUCAAUUGAAGUGGAGCUUCACAAGCGCAUUUGAAGCUGAAUCUACUAGCACUAGGAAUGAAUCAGUGUUGAAGGUUGCUUUUGACCACGGCAAAGCAUCCGGUGUGAUCAAGUUGCAUGGCUUACCUUAGCCAGAAUUUCUAUAAGAAUGUUGCUCAUGUUACAUGCUUUGCUUUCUCUAGAACAAAGAUCCAGAUCACCCUCGCCCCUCUAGAGAAAUCAGUUUACUCAUUCAAGUUCUGGAAAUUCUUUAUAGCUUUUUGAGUUUACUUCGGUCUUUGCAUGUAUUAGCUUUCUGUUUGUGCCCCUGUCUAUGUAUGUUUCUUGUGUGCAAGUGCUCCAUUCUCUGUGUGUGUGUGUGACCGUGUGUGGCUUGACUCUGUGUGUGACUAUGUGUGGCUUGAUUGUGUGUGUGCUUGACUCUCUGAUUGUGUGACUCUGUGUGUGCUUGACUCUAUGUGUGUGUGAAUGUUGCAUUUGCUUGAUGGUGUGGCAUGUAUGC